GUUCUAUUCUGUUAUUACAGUACACUCUUGAGUAUCCGGUUCGCAACUAUCCGGCCUCCGUACUAUCCGGCCUAGUUUUCUUUUAUUGUAAUUAAAUGAGGAAGGCAAGGAGUUGCAUUGGUAACAUUGCCAAGGCAUUGGAAGCGGGCAUUUGCUACGAUCCUCCUACGUGUCGUGUGCAAAAUACAAGUCGUGACAGGAAAAGAGCAGCGUUCUGCUCGUUGUUCAUUGUUUCAUCAGUGUGUAACGGAUCUCAAUUGUUGCUGCUGUUCCUGAUUAUAACUGUACAGUACGUACAGUAUUCGUAAAUUGUUCUUGGGGUAUGCUUAAUGUUUUUUAAGUGUACUACAGUGAAGAUUUCAAAAUGGGUGAUAAACGAAAAAAGUUGUAG
RNAcentral lists this long non-coding RNA (391 nucleotides) under Androctonus crassicauda. Lineage: Eukaryota; Metazoa; Arthropoda; Arachnida; Scorpiones; Buthidae. The record is from RNAcentral.